RNAcentral lists this transfer RNA (77 nucleotides) under Bradyrhizobium sp. Its description in RNAcentral is "tRNA-Arg". It matches the Rfam family "tRNA". Rfam says of the family: Transfer RNA (tRNA) molecules are approximately 80 nucleotides in length. The record is from RNAcentral. Lineage: Bacteria; Pseudomonadati; Pseudomonadota; Alphaproteobacteria; Hyphomicrobiales; Nitrobacteraceae.
GCACCCGUAGCUCAGCUGGAUAGAGCAUCGCCCUCCGAAGGCGAAGGCCACACGUUCGAAUCGUGUCGGGUGCGCCA